Molecule: long non-coding RNA, 704 nt
Organism: Lolium rigidum
Lineage: Eukaryota; Viridiplantae; Streptophyta; Magnoliopsida; Poales; Poaceae
Exons: 4
Source: RefSeq, a predicted model, not a curated record
UCUCUUAUUUUCUUGUUAGAUUCUUGAUUUAUGUUACCUGGCUAUGAUCUAAUAACUUGUAUUUCUCUAUGCAUAUAUUGACUGAUGUAGGGCCAAAGUCCCUUUUUAACGCUGCUUAUUUUGUAUAACUAGGAGGGCUCCGCAAAGUACGGAGAAGAGUAGCUAUUUGGAAUGCCAAGUUAGGAUCGUCUUCCUCUGUAGGAUGUUCAUUGUGUUCUGAUGGAAAAUGGUUAUAUUACUAUUUCAAUUUGCUACUCAUUCUGAUCCAACGAAACUAAACCAGUGGGAUUGAAGUUGUCGUUCAUGUCGGGAGUUCCGGCAAACCCGCUAUACCCUACGAAGAAGGAUCCUCUUGGGAGGAUUGAUCGUGGUGCCAUUCAGAAUUUCUACUUUGACCGUUGAUUCCAGGUGACACAAACCACGGAUAGUUGUUUGCUUCCUCUUAUCUACGUACCGUGGGAUUUGAGAAUUGUCCCCUUUGCUGUGGUAUUGGACAUAUGAAUCAAGCGUCUGCUGCAAUGGUUGUAUGCAAGUGCUUUUGCUUCAUGCUGCUAUCAGCUCUUAGUUUUGUAGUUUCUUUCGUCCUGUGGUGUGCUUCCUCAGAAAACAGAUUUGUGUAUAUAUUUUUGAUUGUUCCACUUAUUAUUAGUGAUAUGUGCAAUAAUUUCACGAUACUUAUUAUGGAUUGGAGGGAGUAUAGCUUA